UACGUAGGGGGCUAGCGUUGUCCGGAAUCAUUGGGCGUAAAGAGCGUGUAGGCGGCUUGGUAAGUCCGCUGUGAAAGUCCAGGGCUCAACCCUGGAAUGCCAGUGGAUACUGUCAAGCUAGAGUCCGGAAGAGGCGAGUGGAAUUCCUGGUGUAGCGGUGAAAUGCGCAGAUACCAGGAGGAACACCAAUGGCGAAGGCAGCUCGCUGGGACGGUACUGACGCUGAGACGCGAAAGCGUGGGGAGCAAACAGG
Molecule: ribosomal RNA, 253 nt
Filed under: uncultured bacterium
Lineage: Bacteria
Description: partial 16S ribosomal RNA
Rfam family: Bacterial small subunit ribosomal RNA
Source: RNAcentral